UCCGCAUCCUGAGAUGAGCUGUGACAGCGAGUGAAGCUACGGCGGAUCGAAGCGGAUGUAAUCAAGGUGCCGGGAAAUACUGUCUAAGGCUAGGUUGGGAAAGACCGUACCGCAAUCCGACACAGGUAGGUGAGAUGAGUAAUCUCAGGCGCUCGAGAGAACUCGCGUUAAGGAACUCGGCAAAAUGCACACGUAACUUCGGAAGAAGUGUGGCCCCUGUUUGGUUAAAGAGUGGGGGUGGCACAGAGCAGGCCCAGGCGACUGUUUAUCAAAAACACAGCCAUCUGCGAACCAGUAAUGGGACGUAUAGGUGGUGACACCUGCCCGGUGCUGGAAGGUUAAGAGGAGAGGUUAGGGGAGCCCCGAAGCUUUGAAUCGAAGCCCCAGUAAACGGCGGCCGUAACUAUAACGGUCCUAAGGUAGCGAAAUUCCUUGUCGGGUAAGUUCCGACCCGCACGAAUGGUGUAACGAUUCUGGGCACUGUCUCAACGCGAGACUCGGUGAAAUUUAUAUACCGGUAAAGAAGCCGGUUACCCAUAGUUAGACGGAAAGACCCCGUGAACCUUCACCGUAACUUAUUAUUGGGACUUGAUUUAGCAUGUGUAGAAUAGGUGGGAGACUGCGAGACGUGGCCGUUAGGUUGCGUGGAGUCGGAAUGUGAAAUACCACCCUUGCUGAAUUAGGUUUCUAACCCUAGCCAUGAAUCUGGUGUGGGGACAAUGAUAGGUGGGCGGUUUGACUGGGGCGGUCGCCUCCUAAAGAGUAACGGAGGUGCGCGAAGGUCUCCUCGCGCCGGUUGGAAAUCGGCGUACGAGUGUAAAGGCACAAGGAGGCUUGACUGCGAGACUGACAGGUCGAGCAGGUACGAAAGUAGGUCUUAGUGAUCUGGUGGUUGCGAGUGGAAGCGCCAUCACUUAACGGACAAAAGGUACUCCGGGGAUAACAGGCUGAUUUUCCCCAAGAGUUCACAUCGACGGGAAAGUUUGGCACCUCGAUGUCGGCUCAUCGCAUCCUGGGGCUGAAGCAGGUCCCAAGGGUUUGGCUGUUCGCCAAUUAAAGCGGUACGUGAGCUGGGUUCUGAACGUCGCGAGACAGUUCGGUCCCUAUCUGCUAUGGGCGUUGGAUGAUUGAGAGGAGCUGCAUUUAGUACGAGAGGACCGAUGUGGACGAACCUCUGGUGUACCUGUUGUUCUGCCAAGGGCAAGUGCAGGGUAGCUAAGUUCGGAAGGGAUAACCGCUGAAGGCAUCUAAGUGGGAAGCCCACCUCAAGAUUAAUCAUCCCUGGGGGUUCAACCCCCCUAAAGACUCCUGGAAGACUACCAGGUUGAUAGGUUGGAGGUCCAAGCGUCGUAAGGCGUUCAGCCGACCAAUACUAAUAAGUCGUGAGGCUUGACCAU
RNAcentral lists this ribosomal RNA (1397 nucleotides) under metagenome. RNAcentral's name for it is "bacterial LSU rRNA". It matches the Rfam family "Bacterial large subunit ribosomal RNA", at positions 1541 to 2925 of the family's 2925-position model. The record is from RNAcentral.